UACAUUUUAAUGAAGUAAUUAUGUAAAAAACUUUAUUUUAGGCUUUUGAGAUGCAAAGUGCUAAAGAAUUAUUUUUUGAAUGGCAAAGGGCUAAAGAGAUUAAUUGUGCAAUUGGAAUCACAAUGAAAGGUUUUAGAUAACAAGUUGAUGUUACAAUUUACUUAUGUUUCAUUAUAUUUCUAUUUUAUUGUGUGCAUAUUUGAUAGUAUGAAGUGUGUUAAAUGUGAGAUAUGUC
This 235-nucleotide long non-coding RNA is filed under the name Medicago truncatula (barrel medic). Its description in RNAcentral is "long non-coding RNA (MTRU_LNC007256)". The record is from RNAcentral. Lineage: Eukaryota; Viridiplantae; Streptophyta; Magnoliopsida; Fabales; Fabaceae.